UUGAUGACACUUGCGUGACGUCACGCCGGGUGACUUUUUUUACAAGGGUCAUUUGCAUGGCGACCGCCCGAUGCGCUGACAAGGCGGGGGCAAUUUGCCAUCCACCCGUGAACAAGUAGCUCGCAGACGCUAGCUCACGGCAAACAGGUUGUCGAAUCGUUCCGCAGCGGGUGUAAUUUAUUUGUGCAAAACUCUCGUCGUUUGAAUUUCUCUUAAUUUAUAUCAAGCUAAAUAUGUUGAUGUACAAACGUUUACUGUCUGUCACAGGGGGAGGCAGUUUUCUACCCCAAAUAUUUUAAUCCAAAGCAAAACACUUUGCGAGGGUGGGGUGAGGGGGGGGGGGGGUUCUUGUUUUGUUUUUAAACUGAGGAACGCAUUUUAUUUGGACGGUUGUCUUGAGUAUUGUUUGCUGCUUUACAUUGGAACCGAAAUGACGACGGAUGAGAAAAGGGACGAAAGGUCGUAGGAGAGAGUAGAAAAAAGAUUGGCUCCCAUCCGCCCGUUGCUUUUGGAUGAAUUCCCUUUGAGAUCAAAUGAAUAUUGUAGGUUGAGUUGAAAAGAAAAAAAGUUGAGGCAAGUUAGGAAUAACUGUUGAUGUUAACCUCGGCAAGCUUCCAAGCUCAUGUUUCCUCUUCUUCUUCCUUUUCGGGGUCACAUUUUGUACACUGUUGACAUGCGUGUGCCCGAUGGAGACAUUUGGACACAAUUGGCACCAUUGGAAUAUGCGUCGUAAAUGGGGGUGGGGGUGGACGCAUUGAUUCGGAAUAUAGGGCUCGGAAUGAUACAUAUCACAUCAGGUAUAUGAGAUAUGUCUCACUUGUAACGUCCACGGAAACUGACGGACAGUCCAACCAAUGGGAUGAACAUGAAAUGAAAAUGGUGGACGGCUGCUAAACCUGGAAAACAAACGUGCUCAAAUCACGUCAUAAACGCCUGCCGUUUGCAUCGGUGAAGCUCCAAAUCGGAUAACUAGUGUCAAAGUGAUUUUUUUUUUCUAAAAUGACCUCUUAAGCUAAACGAAGUUAGCAUUAGCUUCGGACGCGAAAGGUUUCAAGAUGCAGAAAGCGCUUUUUUUUUUUUUUUUUUUUUUGCCCACGCUCAAAUGUUCCUGGAAUUGUUGUCAAUGUUCCGACUGUGGAGAAAGUAUAUACACUGACCCGUCGUUAUGUUUACCAAAAUGAAGGAUGCACUGGACCAGUUCAGUAGAAGACAAGUUUUGCCUUUUAAUCAAGAGUUGUCGUUAGAUCUGCGCGAUAAGCUAGCAUGAGCAAAUGAGAGCUAGCAGACAACAAAAAGGAUUACAUUUGAACCAAUCAAUGAUUCACUUUUGGGUUUUCUUUUUGCCUUUACACGCCACCCACGAUGGAUUUGAUGCGACGACUUUAAGCUUUGACGGCUACGGAAAAUGUCCGCCGCCUAGCGCUUUUGUGUCGAGUCCAUUUUCAGGGGCUGCUUUGACAUAAUUAUCAAAGUAAAUAUUCCUUUUAUUUGCCUUCAAAAUGUCCAUAAUUGCAUUUUUUUACAGUAACCUUAAAUGCUGAAUGUUUUAUUUCAUAGUCCCUCGUGACGGUGUGGAAAAACAAAAUGAUCAAAACUCUCAGCUCUCCAAAUAGCUGGACCUAACCGUAAAAGACACACUAAAUGAGUUUUUGAUUUGUGUGUUUUGUUUUUAAGUGCUUUUUCUGGCAAUAUGCAAAUGACUUCGGCGGGUGGAAUCGUCCAUAUCGGCAUCGACUGUUGGUGAACACGCGUGCGUUCGCGAGCCCCAAAGUUGAAUUGUGGAACGUCACAAAGCUCUGUUGGGUCGAGGCGAGCUGAUUCUCAAAAGUGUUUUGCUUCUACUUUUCUCACUUAUGGUUUUGCUCAUGGCUACUGUGCAACUUGAAACAUUGUUUUGUUUUGGUUUUGUUUGUCAAUGAUGCUGUAAAAGAAAAGACAUCUGUCCGGGGUCCACUUUUAAUAUAUGUUGUUGGUUUUCA
Molecule: long non-coding RNA, 1979 nt
Organism: Hippocampus zosterae (dwarf seahorse)
Lineage: Eukaryota; Metazoa; Chordata; Actinopteri; Syngnathiformes; Syngnathidae
Exons: 2
Source: RefSeq, a predicted model, not a curated record